Perca fluviatilis (European perch) is the source of this 333-nucleotide long non-coding RNA. RefSeq lists it as uncharacterized. The record is from RefSeq and is a predicted model, not a curated record. Lineage: Eukaryota; Metazoa; Chordata; Actinopteri; Perciformes; Percidae. The transcript is spliced from 3 exons.
UUUAGUUCCUGGCUCCUAUUUAGAAGGAUUACCACACAAUGUUAUUGUAAUUAGAAUUGUUCUACCAAUGAGUCUGUUGAAGCUAUUCUUGUCCGUUGUUAUUUUGCUAAUGUAGCGGCUAGUGUUUGCGUAUUUGCUCUGCUAGUCACGGUAUCACGUUUUACGUGUCCAGGAGACCUUGUUGAGAAAGAUGUAAUUAAGGGAGGUUUAUCGCUGGAUGGGAGAUUUCAUGAACGUCUGACUGUGUCGAUGUCCCACUUGGUAAACUGAACUACCAACCCGUUCUCACUCCCAACUCAUAAAAUACUGGCGCUUGUUCAGUGGCUCUCAGCG